RNAcentral lists this ribosomal RNA (465 nucleotides) under Vreelandella stevensii. RNAcentral's name for it is "partial 16S ribosomal RNA". It matches the Rfam family "Bacterial small subunit ribosomal RNA", at positions 338 to 795 of the family's 1533-position model. The record is from RNAcentral. Lineage: Bacteria; Pseudomonadati; Pseudomonadota; Gammaproteobacteria; Oceanospirillales; Halomonadaceae.
CCUACGGGAGGCAGCAGUGGGGAAUAUUGGACAAUGGGGGGAGCCCUGAUCCAGCCAUGCCGCGUGUGUGAAGAAGGCCCUCGGGUUGUAAAGCACUUUCAGUGAGGAAGAACGCCUGGUGGUUAAUACCCAUCAGGAAAGACAUCACUCACAGAAGAAGCACCGGCUAACUCCGUGCCAGCAGCCGCGGUAAUACGGAGGGUGCGAGCGUUAAUCGGAAUUACUGGGCGUAAAGCGCGCGUAGGUGGCUUGAUAAGCCGGUUGUGAAAGCCCCGGGCUCAACCUGGGAACGGCAUCCGGAACUGUCAAGCUAGAGUGCAGGAGAGGAAGGUAGAAUUCCCGGUGUAGCGGUGAAAUGCGUAGAGAUCGGGAGGAAUACCAGUGGCGAAGGCGGCCUUCUGGACUGACACUGACACUGAGGUGCGAAAGCGUGGGUAGCAAACAGGAUUAGAUACCCUGGUAGUC